Long non-coding RNA from Bombus terrestris (buff-tailed bumblebee), 1589 nucleotides. RefSeq lists it as uncharacterized. The transcript is spliced from 2 exons. Lineage: Eukaryota; Metazoa; Arthropoda; Insecta; Hymenoptera; Apidae. The record is from RefSeq and is a predicted model, not a curated record.
CCCUUGAACCGCGAACUCGAGAAUAUCGUAUUCAGUAAGGCGACGAAUCUAAUGAACGGGAAUUAAAUCUGUUCCGACAGCUUCCUUUGCCUGGAUGAAAGAAUAAGUACGAGAGAUAAAUUAUGUCAGAUAAUGCACAGGCUUUCGAUAUUUGCGAUGCUGAGUGCGUGGUGGCUGUGCAGCUACAGCUAACAAUAUCCUGUAUAUCAGUAUCUUUUAUAAUCUUAUACAGUGGCUGUGAAAAGGUAUUUAUAUGCGUUAGGUUGUCCCAAAAGUUUCUUUAGUUUUAUAAGGAAAUAUAAUGUUAUUAUUAAUGAAUUCUGUACGAAUAAAAUAAAAUGGAUUCUAUUACUACAAAAUAGAUCAUACAUAAUUCAAUACAAUAAUAUGAUACAAAAAAUGUACAUUUAUUAUUUCCUCACAAAACGAAAGAAACUUUUAUGCCAACCUAAUGCUAAUACUUACGGUAUCUCUAUCUUUUUCAAUUUUUUUUCAUCAGCCGUUACAUUUCACUUUCAACUAGUGUCAAUAGUUCGUAGUCAUACGAUAGUACUAUCAAGUGACGCGAAAUUUAUCUGUCCAUCUGCAUAGUGGAUGGUUUUCGACCAGUGACUUUAAGCGAUUUUCCACUUUCUUCAUAUUUUUGCUUAGAUUCCGCUUCGUUUAAAAAGAUUCACAUGUAUCGAUAUGAAAAUUAUUGGAAGAUAUUCUAGCAACUUGCAAGAGUAUUCAAGAAUUUUUGAGCACAGUUUUUAAAACACGAGAACGUAAACAGAUAUUGCAUGAUCCUAAACGAUCCAGCGUGUAAAUGUCGGUAAGGCUUUUGCAGACAGAGGACAAUUAAUAUGCUUUCAAUUAAUAGAAUUGAUUAACACGCUGGGAUAAACACAAUAGUAGAAAUAAUACAGAAAUACUUUUUGUAGCCACUGUAAGUAGCUGUUGGGUACAGUAUUGUUCAAAAGUAGACAGUCGCUCGAUUACUUUUGGCAAAAUGUACUUUACUCGCAAGAUUAUGCGUAAAUGGACUGCAAAAUUUCAUAACAGUUAAACGUAAAACGGACAAUAGCCUACGUUUUGUAAAAUGGUUUAUCGAAAUUAGGAGAUAAAGAAUUUCAGAUAAGUAAGAGUGUAAAAAAGAAGAGAAAGAUGGUUUUAAUAUUAAUUUUAAAAAUAUUAAAAGGGACAUUUCUGAUUUUCUUAUCCGUUGAUAAAUUGUUGUUUGAAUAAUUGCUUCUUGGAAUAAAAAAUAUUUCUUUCCAUUUUAUUUGCGUUUUACACGACGAGAUGAAUGGCAACGAACGAGAUGCAAAAUGAGAGAUGCUUAGCAUCGAGGCAUUACGCGUGGGCGAUAGAUUAGUAUGACUCUUUAGAAAGAAAUUACAUUACGCUUAACGACGAUCGUUAUUCUUUCCUGGAAUGGUUUUAUUUCCUCUUAACAAGGCGAUGUCGUCUCACGUUUUCUACGAAAACAAAAUAAUUCCAUUCUUUGCCUUAGUUUUCAUUAUAUGCUAUCGCACGAUAAAUCAUAUCCCUUUGUUCACGGAUGUGGAAAUUUAAUUAAAACCGAUUCCUAGAAACGAAUAUGCGUU